GUGGUAAUGCCGGAUGUUCCAGUUGAUCGCAUGGUCUUCUGGGAAAGCUUUCGCGGUAUGGGAUGGGGUCGCGUCCUAUCAGCUUGACGGCGGGGUAACGGCCCACCGUGGCUUCGACGGGUAGCCGGCCUGAGAGGGCGACCGGCCACAUUGGGACUGAGAUACGGCCCAGACUCCUACGGGAGGCAGCAGUGGGGAAUAUUGCACAAUGGGCGCAAGCCUGAUGCAGCGACGCCGCGUGAGGGAUGGAGGCCUUCGGGUUGUAAACCUCUUUUAUCGGGGAGCAAGCGUGAGUGAGUUUACCCGUUGAAUAAGCACCGGCUAACUACGUGCCAGCAGCCGCGGUAAUACGUAGGGUGCAAGCGUUAUCCGGAAUUAUUGGGCGUAAAGGGCUCGUAGGCGGUUCGUCGCGUCCGGUGUGAAAGUCCAUCGCUUAACGGUGGAUCCGCGCCGGGUACGGGCGGGCUUGAGUGCGGUAGGGGAGACUGGAAUUCCCGGUGUAACGGUGGAAUGUGUAGAUAUCGGAAAAAAAACACCA
This 538-nucleotide ribosomal RNA is filed under the name Bifidobacterium longum subsp. infantis. RNAcentral's name for it is "bacterial SSU rRNA". It matches the Rfam family "Bacterial small subunit ribosomal RNA", at positions 160 to 711 of the family's 1533-position model. Lineage: Bacteria; Bacillati; Actinomycetota; Actinomycetes; Bifidobacteriales; Bifidobacteriaceae. The record is from RNAcentral.